RNAcentral lists this transfer RNA (76 nucleotides) under Actinomycetes bacterium. RNAcentral describes it as "Actinobacteria bacterium tRNA-Ala". It matches the Rfam family "tRNA". Rfam says of the family: Transfer RNA (tRNA) molecules are approximately 80 nucleotides in length. Their secondary structure includes four short double-helical elements and three loops (D, anti-codon, and T loops). Lineage: Bacteria; Bacillati; Actinomycetota; Actinomycetes. The record is from RNAcentral.
GGGCCUGUAGCUCAAUCGGGAAGAGCGCCUGGCUUGCAACCAGGGAACGUCGGUUCGAAUCCGACCGGGUCCACGA